UAGUGGGGGAUAACGUUCGGAAACGGACGCUAAUACCGCAUACGUCCUACGGGAGAAAGCAGGGGACCUUCGGGCCUUGCGCUAUCAGAUGAGCCUAGGUCGGAUUAGCUAGUUGGUGAGGUAAUGGCUCACCAAGGCGACGAUCCGUAACUGGUCUGAGAGGAUGAUCAGUCACACUGGAACUGAGACACGGUCCAGACUCCUACGGGAGGCAGCAGUGGGGAAUAUUGGACAAUGGGCGAAAGCCUGAUCCAG
Molecule: ribosomal RNA, 255 nt
Filed under: uncultured bacterium
Lineage: Bacteria
Description: partial 16S ribosomal RNA
Rfam family: Bacterial small subunit ribosomal RNA
Source: RNAcentral